RNAcentral lists this ribosomal RNA (253 nucleotides) under uncultured bacterium. RNAcentral describes it as "partial 16S ribosomal RNA". It matches the Rfam family "Bacterial small subunit ribosomal RNA", at positions 524 to 776 of the family's 1533-position model. The record is from RNAcentral.
UACGUAGGGUGCAAGCGUUGUCCGGAAUUAUUGGGCGUAAAGAGCUCGUAGGUGGUCUGUUGCGUCGGCUGUGAAACCCCGAGGCUCAACCUCGGGCCUGCAGCCGAUACGGGCAGACUAGAGUUCGGCAGGGGAGACUGGAAUUCCUGGUGUAGCGGUGAAAUGCGCAGAUAUCAGGAGGAACACCGGUGGCGAAGGCGGGUCUCUGGGCCGAUACUGACACUGAGGAGCGAAAGCGUGGGGAGCGAACAGG